AUUCACCAUCAAUAUCCCCUCCAUCUACCUUUUCCUUCUCGCUCCCUCACUUCACGAACCCAAGAACUGCUCCCUUACUCCCCUCCCCCUUUUUUCAUGAAUUGCUCACACCUAGGAACCCCACCUUUAUCUAUGUAGCAAGUUGCAGUUAGCUACCCCAAGUCCAUCUGUAACUCGCUCUUUUACCUUCACGACAACACCUUCACCCUCUAUUGUAGUUAUAGGCUCCUUAUUUGUUUUCCCACUUACUCAACUUUCUUCUUCUUCUGUCUUUUGUGUGACGCAUUUACUCCAUUGAUGCUAUGUUAUCACUCUCCUCCCUCAUUGAUUUGUCAUCCCAAGACUUCCAAUCUUCAUUUGAUUUUUACUGCUGCAUAUUAUGAGAUAGCGAUUUAUUUUAGAUUUGUUAUUUUGAAUUAUUUUUUCAUAUUUGAAUAUACUAUUUUCAGUUUUAUUGAUUUUGAAAUGAGAUUUUAGAAUUGUUUGUUUUAAUUUUAUUUUUAUUUUAGCAUAUUAUCAAUUUGUUGAGGAUUUUGAUUUAUUAUUUUUAUUGGGUUAAUUUUUUGUUAUUGGAUUUAUUAUUGAAUUUAGUUUUGCUCUGGAGAGAGAGAUAAAUGAAAGACAAAAAUAAAGAGAGGGAGAGAGAAAAUCGACAAGAGAGAACAAAAUUGAAGAGAGAGAAAGAGAGGAAGAGAUGGCAAGGGUACUAUACAAAAAAUUUAUUUCAUUAAACUACUUUUUUCAUUUAAAAGUGGAUAAACUUUUAAAAUAAAUUAUUUAGCUGAUAAAAUUAAACUUUAAAGACAUAACAAUAUAAUUAUUAAAAUAAAAAAUAAAAAUAAUACAAUAUCUAAAAACUUGACAGUAAUUUAGCAAUUUUCUUUUUCAAUUGAGAGGAUUACUAUUUCGACUUUAGUAUAACAUUUCAAAAAGUAAGGUGAUCUAACUAUGAUUCAGUUAUUCAUUUGGAUUAAAAAGAUAUAUCCAUCUUUCCCUCUCCAGGAGAUCUCUUUCUCUUUUUCCUUUGGGUAUCGAGAGCUCGUCUCUCUCACUUGCUGGACUACGCGACUAUCCCUUGCCCCUUUCAGGUGGGGAACUGCUCUCCUCUUCUCCUUCUAGAUGUAUCCUCAAUUCGCGGGAAUUCGACAGUUGUUCGGAUCUAUGAAUUUCCGGCCAGACAGA
This 1182-nucleotide unclassified non-coding RNA is filed under the name Hevea brasiliensis (rubber tree). Lineage: Eukaryota; Viridiplantae; Streptophyta; Magnoliopsida; Malpighiales; Euphorbiaceae. The record is from RNAcentral.